This 500-nucleotide ribosomal RNA is filed under the name uncultured bacterium. Its description in RNAcentral is "partial 16S ribosomal RNA". It matches the Rfam family "Bacterial small subunit ribosomal RNA", at positions 29 to 523 of the family's 1533-position model. The record is from RNAcentral.
AUUGAACGCUGGCGGCAUGCCUUACACAUGCAAGUCGAACGGCAGCACGGGAGCAAUCCUGGUGGCGAGUGGCGAACGGGUGAGUAAAGUAUCGGAACGUGCCCAGUCGUGGGGGAUAACGUAGCGAAAGUUACGCUAAUACCGCAUACGAUCUACGGAUGAAAGCGGGGGAUGGCAAGACCACGCGCGAUUGGAGCGGCUGAUAUCAGAUUAGGUAGUUGGUGGGGUAAAGGCUCACCAAGCCGACGAUCUGUAGCGGGUCUGCGGGGACGACCAGCCACACUGGGACUGGGACACGGCCCAGACUCCUACGGGAGGAAGCAGCGGGGAAUUUUGGACAAUGGGCGCAAGCCUGAUCCAGCCAUGCCGCGUGCAGGAUGAAGGCCUUCGGGUUGUAAACUGCUUUUGUACGGAACGAAAAGGUUUGGCCUAAUAAGCUGGACCCAUGACGGUACCGUGAGAAUAAGCACCGGCUAACUACGUGCCAGCAGCCGCCGCCG